UUGGUGACAGAGAAAGGCAGUGUAAUGCAGGGGGAAGCACAGGUUGACAUAAAGAAACACAAUGUGCUGCGCGGUGUGGAGAACAAGGCAUAUCGCUCAAGUGUCACAAGUUAGACGGGAAUGUCCUGAUUUCAGCCCCACCAUCUAUCAGCACCAUCAUCCCAACAGUUGGAACGUUAGGAGAGUCAAUAACAGAAAGCAGUGGUCAGCUACAUAUAUCCAGCAUGGUGAUAAAAAGGAAGGACACUAAUAUUUUUUGUCUCAAUGUGGACCUGGACCAAUGUUGGCAAGCCAUGAAACAG
Molecule: long non-coding RNA, 302 nt
Organism: Pseudophryne corroboree (corroboree frog)
Lineage: Eukaryota; Metazoa; Chordata; Amphibia; Anura; Myobatrachidae
Exons: 4
Source: RefSeq, a predicted model, not a curated record